Molecule: ribosomal RNA, 1970 nt
Filed under: human gut metagenome
Description: bacterial LSU rRNA
Rfam family: Bacterial large subunit ribosomal RNA
Source: RNAcentral
CGGGAGACACACGGCGGGUGCUAACGUCCGUCGUGAAGAGGGAAACAACCCAGACCGCCAGCUAAGGUCCCAAAGUCAUGGUUAAGUGGGAAACGAUGUGGGAAGGCCCAGACAGCCAGGAUGUUGGCUUAGAAGCAGCCAUCAUUUAAAGAAAGCGUAAUAGCUCACUGGUCGAGUCGGCCUGCGCGGAAGAUGUAACGGGGCUAAACCAUGCACCGAAGCUGCGGCAGCGACGCUUAUGCGUUGUUGGGUAGGGGAGCGUUCUGUAAGCCUGUGAAGGUGUGCUGUGAGGCAUGCUGGAGGUAUCAGAAGUGCGAAUGCUGACAUAAGUAACGAUAAAGCGGGUGAAAAGCCCGCUCGCCGGAAGACCAAGGGUUCCUGUCCAACGUUAAUCGGGGCAGGGUGAGUCGACCCCUAAGGCGAGGCCGAAAGGCGUAGUCGAUGGGAAACAGGUUAAUAUUCCUGUACUUGGUGUUACUGCGAAGGGGGGACGGAGAAGGCUAUGUUGGCCGGGCGACGGUUGUCCCGGUUUAAGCGUGUAGGCUGGUUUUCCAGGCAAAUCCGGAAAAUCAAGGCUGAGGCGUGAUGACGAGGCACUACGGUGCUGAAGCAACAAAUGCCCUGCUUCCAGGAAAAGCCUCUAAGCAUCAGGUAACAUCAAAUCGUACCCCAAACCGACACAGGUGGUCAGGUAGAGAAUACCAAGGCGCUUGAGAGAACUCGGGUGAAGGAACUAGGCAAAAUGGUGCCGUAACUUCGGGAGAAGGCACGCUGAUAUGUAGGUGAAGUCCCUUGCGGAUGGAGCUGAAAUCAGUCGAAGAUACCAGCUGGCUGCAACUGUUUAUUAAAAACACAGCACUGUGCAAACACGAAAGUGGACGUAUACGGUGUGACGCCUGCCCGGUGCCGGAAGGUUAAUUGAUGGGGUUAGCGGUAACGCGAAGCUCUUGAUCGAAGCCCCGGUAAACGGCGGCCGUAACUAUAACGGUCCUAAGGUAGCGAAAUUCCUUGUCGGGUAAGUUCCGACCUGCACGAAUGGCAUAAUGAUGGCCAGGCUGUCUCCACCCGAGACUCAGUGAAAUUGAAAUCGCCGUGAAGAUGCGGUGUACCCGCGGCUAGACGGAAAGACCCCGUGAACCUUUACUAUAGCUUGACACUGAACAUUGAAUUUUGAUGUGUAGGAUAGGUGGGAGACUUAGAAGUAGUCACGCCAGUGAUUAUGGAGUCGUCCUUGAAAUACCACCCUUUAACGUUUGAUGUUCUAACGAAGAUUACGAAACGUGGUCUCGGACAGUGUCUGGUGGGUAGUUUGACUGGGGCGGUCUCCUCCCAAAGAGUAACGGAGGAGCACGAAGGUUUGCUAAUGACGGUCGGACAUCGUCAGGUUAGUGCAAUGGUAUAAGCAAGCUUAACUGCGAGACAGACAAGUCGAGCAGGUACGAAAGUAGGUCAUAGUGAUCCGGUGGUUCUGAAUGGAAGGGCCAUCGCUCAACGGAUAAAAGGUACUCCGGGGAUAACAGGCUGAUACCGCCCAAGAGUUCAUAUCGACGGCGGUGUUUGGCACCUCGAUGUCGGCUCAUCACAUCCUGGGGCUGAAGUAGGUCCCAAGGGUAUGGCUGUUCGCCAUUUAAAGUGGUACGCGAGCUGGGUUUAGAACGUCGUGAGACAGUUCGGUCCCUAUCUGCCGUGGGCGCUGGAGAACUGAGGGGGGCUGCUCCUAGUACGAGAGGACCGGAGUGGACGCAUCACUGGUGUUCGGGUUGUCAUGCCAAUGGCACUGCCCGGUAGCUAAAUGCGGAAGAGAUAAGUGCUGAAAGCAUCUAAGCACGAAACUUGCCCCGAGAUGAGUUCUCCCUGACUCCUUGAGAGUCCUGAAGGAACGUUGAAGACGACGACGUUGAUAGGCCGGGUGUGUAAGCGCAGCGAUGCGUUGAGCUAACCGGUACUAAUGAACCGUGAGGCUUAACCUU